Molecule: long non-coding RNA, 1149 nt
Organism: Rhineura floridana
Lineage: Eukaryota; Metazoa; Chordata; Lepidosauria; Squamata; Rhineuridae
Exons: 3
Source: RefSeq, a predicted model, not a curated record
AAACACUUACUGCAAUAGAAGAAAAAGUUGUAUGCAGCUGGAGACACUGAAGCUGGAAUUUGAACCUCAAAGAAUGUUAUGAGAACUGAGAGAUGAGAAGAUCAAGAACUUGAUUAGCAGGAGGAAAUACAAUGCAACGAAAUACAAUAUAUGUUUAGGAGUUUGUAUGGGGCCCAUUCACCAGCAAUCAGGAUUCAACUGGGGCCUUCUACACAUGGGAGCAUUAUUUCAUACUAAAGCAUAUGCCGGGUAAUCAUUUUACCAACCACGGAUGGAUGGAAGGCUGAGUGGACCUCGACCCCUUUUACCGGAGAUUCGACUUCCUCCUUCCAUUGGAAUCGAACUCCGUCCGUGAGCAGAGCUUCGACUGCGUUACUGCCGCUUACCACUCUGUGCCACGGAGGAUCCCUACUUCAUACUAAAGAUGCUGUUUUUACCUUUUUUUUAGUUUGCACCAUCCACAGUAAGGGCUCAAUGCCUGCUGUAAACAAGGUAUUUUCUAUUCACACUGAGGGGAAGGAUCAAUCAUGCAGUUUCCUAGUGACCAUGCUCUCUAAUUUAACAUUUCCACUCCCUCUGGUUGAUUGACAAGCAUGCUCAGUUCGUCCUACCACUUGCAGUAGGUUCCAUUAAAAAACCCAGAAGUGUGAUUAUUAGUAUUUUCACUUGUACAAUACAGCUGAAAUACAAAUCUUUGUUUGAGCAGUAUUGCGCUUUUGUGUUGCGCUUUAUAAGGAAAAGAAAAAUAACUGCACAGUUUGCAGCAACAUAAAAAAGGCCAGCAGAAAGGAGGAGAGCAGCUGGUUGCUUGUCAGCCCACAGAAAAUGAAAUGAAAGAAGAGAGUAGAAGAUAAUGGGUGAGGAGAGGGGAGUGAUUGACACAGUGACCUAAAAGCAUUGGAGCAAAGCAUCUGCAAGCACUAGAGAUAAGGAAUGAAGACUUUUCCACCUCUCUUCUCAUAUUAUCAGUGGAUUGGGUUACUACAGAUUUACAGGGGGGAAUGGCACCACAGCUUUUGUUUGCCGGUAACAUCAUAUGAACUAUGCAAAUUUAAAGGAGAUGUGAGUAACACCAAACAUACAGUAAACCACCGUGUAGAUGAGCCCUGGAACAAUUAGAACUUGGCUCUAAUGAAUAUUAUAGACUUU